UGAAUACGAGACGCUAAGGCGUCGAAGUAGUGUAUGUCAUACUUCCAAGAAAAGCUUGCACUGUCAUAGAUAAAAAACGCCUGUACCAUAACCGACACAGGUGGGUAGGUAGAGUAUACUAAGGGGCGCGAGAUAACUCUCUCUAAGGAACUCGGCAAAAUAACUCCGUAACUUCGGGAGAAGGAGUGCCUUAUUCGUAAGGUUGCAAUAACAAGAUCCAAGCAACUGUUUAUCAAAAACACAGGUCUCCGCUAAGUCGUAAGACGAUGUAUGGGGGCUGACGCCUGCCCAGUGCCAGAAGGUUAAAGAAGUUGGUUAGCAAUUGCGAAGCUGAUAACUGAAGCCCUGGUGAACGGCGGCCGUAACUAUAACGGUCCUAAGGUAGCGAAAUUCCUUGUCAGGUAAGUUCCGACCCGCACGAAAGGCGUAAUGAUUUGGAUACUGUCUCGGAGAGGGGCUCGGUGAAAUAGACUUGUCUGUGAAGAUGCGGACUACCUGCACCAGGACAGAAAGACCCUAUGAAGCUUUACUGUAACUUGAAAUUGAAAUUGGACUUUAUUCGCGCAGCAUAGGUGGGAGGCGUUGAUUAUAAUCUUGCGGGAUUAUUGGAGCCAUCAGUGAGAUACCACUCUUGUAAUGUUAGGUUUCUAACUUUGAAUCAUUAUCUGGUCAAAGAACAGUUUCAGGCGGGCAGUUUGACUGGGGCGGUCGCCUCCUAAACGGUAACGGAGGCGUACAAAGGUUUCCUCUGAACGGUUAGAAAUCGUAUCUAGAGUGUAAAGGCAUAAGGAAGCUUGACUGUGAGACCUACAAGUCGAGCAGGGACGAAAGUCGGUCUUAGUGAUCUGACGGUACUGAGUGGAAAGGCCGUCACUCAACGGAUAAAAGUUACUCUAGGAUAACAGGCUGAUCUCCCCCAAGAGUUCACAUCGACGGGGAGGUUUGGCACCUCGAUGUCGGCUCAUCGCAUCCUGGGGCGGUAGUACGUCCCAAGGGUUGGGCUGUUCGCCCAUGAAAGCGGUACGCGAGCUGGGUUCAGAACGUCGUGAGACAGUUCGGUCCAUAUCCGGUGUAGGCGUUAGAAUAUUGAGAGGAGCCUUCUUUAGUACGAGAGGACCGAGAAGGACAUACCUCUGGUGUACCAGUUAUCGUGCCAACGGUAAACGCUGGGUAGCUAUGUAUGGAGUGGAUAACCGCUGAAAGCAUCUAAGUGGGAAGCCCACCUCAAGAUAAG
Molecule: ribosomal RNA, 1234 nt
Filed under: metagenome
Description: bacterial LSU rRNA
Rfam family: Bacterial large subunit ribosomal RNA
Source: RNAcentral